RNAcentral lists this unclassified non-coding RNA (335 nucleotides) under soil metagenome. Its description in RNAcentral is "partial contains 5.8S ribosomal RNA, internal transcribed spacer 2, and large subunit ribosomal RNA". The stretch from base 1 to 120 matches the Rfam family "5.8S ribosomal RNA", at positions 35 to 154 of the family's 154-position model. The record is from RNAcentral.
GAUGAAGAACGUAGCGAAAUGCGAUAAGUAAUGUGAAUUGCGGAAUUCAGUGAAUCAUCGAAUCUUUGAACGCACAUUGCGCCCGCCAGUAUUCUGGCGGGCAUGCCUGUUCGAGCGUCAUUUCAACCAUCAAGCCCCCGGCUUGUGUUGGGGACCUGCGGCUGCCGCAGGCCCUGAAAACCAGUGGCGGGCUCGCUAGUCACUCCGAGCGUAGUAAUACAUCUCGCUCAGGGCGUGCUGCGGGUUCCGGCCGUUAAAAAGCCUUAUUUACCCAAGGUUGACCUCGGAUCAGGUAGGAAGACCCGCUGAACUUAAGCAUAUCAAUAAGCGGAGGA